UGAACAUACCUCUGGUGUUUCGGUUGUUCCGCCAGGAGCAUUGCCGAGUAGCCAAGUAUGGACGAGAUAAACACUGAAAGCAUAUAAGUGUGAAACUCACCUCAAGAUAAGGUUUCCCCGAAGGGCACUUGUAGACUACGAGUUUGAUAGGUUGGAAGUGGAAGUGCAGUAAUGCAUGCAGCUAACCAAUACUAAUUGCCCGUUCGGCUUGGUCAC
This 216-nucleotide ribosomal RNA is filed under the name Candidatus Endomicrobiellum devescovinae. Its description in RNAcentral is "partial 23S ribosomal RNA". It matches the Rfam family "Bacterial large subunit ribosomal RNA", at positions 2698 to 2925 of the family's 2925-position model. Lineage: Bacteria; Pseudomonadati; Elusimicrobiota; Endomicrobiia; Endomicrobiales; Endomicrobiaceae. The record is from RNAcentral.